UGGCAGAUGAGAAGAAGCUUAACAACUCUCAGAAAUGCCAAAACAAGUCAGACACCCAACAUCCAAAGGCCAAGAAGAAGACGUCAAAACCAAGAUGGAUUUGGCCUUUUCGUUGUUUCAGAAGGAAUCAUCGCGUCUCUCCGGCUGAGAGCACCGAUUUCUUGAUUACUACCAAAGUAACAGAGAUAACAAACUCCACUGAAGAGAUAACAGGAGAGCAACUCGCUCAAAAAAUGAGUACAUUAUUCUCA
Melanotaenia boesemani (Boeseman's rainbowfish) is the source of this 251-nucleotide long non-coding RNA. RefSeq lists it as uncharacterized. The transcript is spliced from 4 exons. The record is from RefSeq and is a predicted model, not a curated record. NCBI's taxonomy places the organism in Eukaryota, Metazoa, Chordata, Actinopteri, Atheriniformes, Melanotaeniidae.